CCCUUAUCCUUUGUUGCCAGCGGUCCGGCCGGGAACUCAAAGGAGACUGCCAGUGAUAAACUGGAGGAAGGUGGGGAUGACGUCAAGUCAUCAUGGCCCUUACGACCAGGGCUACACACGUGCUACAAUGGCGCAUACAAAGAGAAGCGACCUCGCGAGAGCAAGCGGACCUCAUAAAGUGCGUCGUAGUCCGGAUUGGAGUCUGCAACUCGACUCCAUGAAGUCGGAAUCGCUAGUAAUCGUGGAUCAGAAUGCCACGGUGAAUACGUUCCCGGGCCUUGUACACACCGCCCGUCACACCAUGGGAGUGGGUUGCAAAAGAAGUAGGUAGCUUAACCUUCGGGAGGGCGCUUACCACUUUGUGAUUCAUGACUGGGGUGAAGUCGUAACAAGGUAACCGUAGGGGAACCUGCGGUUGGAUCAC
This 424-nucleotide ribosomal RNA is filed under the name Escherichia coli. RNAcentral describes it as "bacterial SSU rRNA". It matches the Rfam family "Bacterial small subunit ribosomal RNA", at positions 1102 to 1526 of the family's 1533-position model. Lineage: Bacteria; Pseudomonadati; Pseudomonadota; Gammaproteobacteria; Enterobacterales; Enterobacteriaceae. RNAcentral also lists the same sequence under 1 other name. The record is from RNAcentral.